This 253-nucleotide ribosomal RNA is filed under the name uncultured bacterium. RNAcentral's name for it is "partial 16S ribosomal RNA". It matches the Rfam family "Bacterial small subunit ribosomal RNA", at positions 524 to 776 of the family's 1533-position model. The record is from RNAcentral.
UACGGGGGGGGCAAGCGUUGUUCGGAAUUACUGGGCGUAAAGGGCUCGUAGGCGGCCAACUAAGUCGGAUGUGAAAUCCCCAGGCUUAACCUGGGAACUGCAUCCGAUACUGGAUGGCUUGAAUCCGGGAGAGGGAUGCGGAAUUCCAGGUGUAGCGGUGAAAUGCGUAGAUAUCUGGAGGAACACCCGUGGCGAAGGCGGCUCUCUGGGACGGUACUGACGCUGAGACACGAAAGCGUGGGUAGCAAACAGG